RNAcentral lists this ribosomal RNA (495 nucleotides) under uncultured bacterium. Its description in RNAcentral is "partial 16S ribosomal RNA". It matches the Rfam family "Bacterial small subunit ribosomal RNA", at positions 28 to 507 of the family's 1533-position model. The record is from RNAcentral.
GACGAACGCUGGCGGCGUGCCUAAUACAUGCAAGUAGAACGCUGAAGGAGGAGCUUGCUCUUCUGGAUGAGUUGCGAACGGGUGAGUAACGCGUAGGUAACCUGCCUGGUAGCGGGGGAUAACUAUUGGAAACGAUAGCUAAUACCGCAUAAGAGUAGAUGUUGCAUGACAUUUGCUUAAAAGGUGCAAUUGCAUCACUACCAGAUGGACCUGCGUUGUAUUAGCUAGUUGGUGGGGUAACGGCCCAACAAGGCGACGAUACAUAGCCGACCUGAGAGGGUGAACGGCCACACUGGGACUGAGACACGGCCCAGACUCCUACGGGAGGCAGCAGGAGGGGAUCUUCGGAAAUGGACGGAAGUCUGACCGAGCAACGCCGCGUGGGUGAAGAAGGUUGUCGGAUCGUAAAGCUCUGUUGUAAGAGAAGAACGAGUGUGAGAGUGGAAAGUUCACACUGUGACGGUACCUUACCAGAAAGGGACGGCUAACUACGUG